UUAAAAAGCUCGUAGUCGGAUUUCAGUAUUAGGCCCUUCUUCCAAUACGGUUGCUAGUGGUCUUUACUUCCUUAACAGAAUCUUUCAUCUCAUUAAUUUGGGGUGUUUGGGGCCUGUUUCUUUUACUUUGAGAAAAUUAGAGUGUUCAAAGCGGGUUUUCGCCUGGAUAUUACUCUUGGAAUAAUAAUAUAGGACUUUGGUUCUUUUUUGUUGGUGACUUAGAACCGAAGUAAUGAUUGAUAGGGACAGUUGGGGUCAUUCGUACUAUGAAGCGAGAGGUGAAAUUCAUGGACCUUUGUAUGACGAACUACUGCGAAAGCAUUUGACUAGGAUGUUCCCGUUGAUCAAGAACGAAAGUUGGGGGAUCGAAGACGAUCAGAUACCGUCGUAGUCUCAACCAUAAACUAUGCCAGCUAGGGAUUGGAGGAAGAUCAUUUUACGUCUCCUUCAGCACCUUAUGAGAAAUCAAAGCAUUUGGGUUCCGGGGGGAGUAUGGUCGCAAGGCUGAAACUUAAAGGAAUUGACGGGAGGGCACCACCAGGAGUGGAGCCUGCGGCUUAAUUGAUUC
Molecule: ribosomal RNA, 568 nt
Filed under: uncultured marine eukaryote
Lineage: Eukaryota
Description: SSU rRNA
Rfam family: Eukaryotic small subunit ribosomal RNA
Source: RNAcentral